Molecule: ribosomal RNA, 405 nt
Filed under: uncultured prokaryote
Description: bacterial SSU rRNA
Rfam family: Bacterial small subunit ribosomal RNA
Source: RNAcentral
UGGGGGAUAUUGCACAAUGGGCGAAAGCCUGAUGCAGCAACGCCGCGUGAGGGAAGACGGUUUUCGGAUUGUAAACCUCUGUCUUCGGUGAAGAAACAAAUGACGGUAACCGAGGAGGAAGCCACGGCUAACUACGUGCCAGCAGCCGCGGUAAUACGUAGGUGGCAAGCGUUGUCCGGAAUUACUGGGUGUAAAGGGAGAGCAGGCGGGGAGACAAGUCAGCUGUGAAAACUGUGGGCUUAACCCAUAAACUGCAGUUGAAACUGUUUUUCUUGAGUGGAGUAGAGGGAGGCGGAAUUCCGAGUGUAGCGGUGAAAUGCGUAGAUAUUCGGAGGAACACCAGUGGCGAAGGCGGCCUACUGGGCUCUAACUGACGCUGAGGCUCGAAAGUGUGGGGAGCAAACA